GGCAGGGUAGCUCAGCUGGCUAGAGCACGCGACUCAUAAUCGCGGGGUCGAGAGUUCGAGUCUCUCUCCUGCUA
This 74-nucleotide transfer RNA is filed under the name Gemmatimonas sp. Its description in RNAcentral is "tRNA-Met". It matches the Rfam family "tRNA". Rfam says of the family: Transfer RNA (tRNA) molecules are approximately 80 nucleotides in length. The record is from RNAcentral. Lineage: Bacteria; Pseudomonadati; Gemmatimonadota; Gemmatimonadia; Gemmatimonadales; Gemmatimonadaceae. RNAcentral also lists the same sequence under 1 other name.